GUCGUAACUUAUUGUAAAAAAUUGUAUGUGUUCCUGUUUUCUCCUAUUUUUCGCACAUAUACUGUCAGUCGAAAUAGAAAGUACAAUGAUGUAUUUUUAGUUUAUUCUAUUUUUAGAUCAUGUUAUUACUACGCAUAUGGGCACUAUUGCCACGAUUACCUGAGGGCACCGAUUACCUUAGGGCAUACAGCAGCGGACCUAACUGCCAUCUGCGU
This 215-nucleotide long non-coding RNA is filed under the name Mytilus galloprovincialis (Mediterranean mussel). The record is from RNAcentral. Lineage: Eukaryota; Metazoa; Mollusca; Bivalvia; Mytilida; Mytilidae.